This 65-nucleotide transfer RNA is filed under the name Striatobalanus amaryllis. Its description in RNAcentral is "tRNA-Trp". Lineage: Eukaryota; Metazoa; Arthropoda; Thecostraca; Balanomorpha; Balanidae. The record is from RNAcentral.
AAUGUUUUAGGUUAACUAAACCAGUAGCCUUCAAAGCUUCAAUUGGGCUAAAAGUCCAAACAUUA